RNAcentral lists this long non-coding RNA (314 nucleotides) under Lathyrus oleraceus (garden pea). RNAcentral describes it as "Pisum sativum (pea) long non-coding RNA (PSAT_LNC030341)". The record is from RNAcentral. Lineage: Eukaryota; Viridiplantae; Streptophyta; Magnoliopsida; Fabales; Fabaceae.
CAAAUACAAUGGGAAGCAAUUCCUAGAAAGAGGUAAUUGCGCACAAAAGGAAAAUAAACUAUCCUAAUGGCAAUGUGAAUACGGCAUCCACUAUUUCCCAAUUCUGUUAUAACCCACAGAUCAUCAGUUUUCCUCCCAACUCCUUGCUUUCUGAGAAGAAUGACUGGACCGAUCACAUCUUUCAAGAUGGCAGCUGACGAAGCGCAAUGAAGUACAGAUAACUCAGACUGUAGUCUUCGCUUUAAUCCCUCUUUUGGCUGGAUCGCCCUUUCGGGUUUUCAAUCCACCGGGAUACCCAUUUUUGCCUAAGCCGC